This 429-nucleotide ribosomal RNA is filed under the name Chloroflexota bacterium. RNAcentral describes it as "Chloroflexi bacterium partial 16S ribosomal RNA". It matches the Rfam family "Bacterial small subunit ribosomal RNA", at positions 355 to 776 of the family's 1533-position model. The record is from RNAcentral. Lineage: Bacteria; Bacillati; Chloroflexota.
UGGGGAAUAUUGCACAAUGGGCGCAAGCCUGAUGCAGCCAUGCCGCGUGUAUGAAGAAGGCCUUCGGGUUGUAAAGUACUUUCAGCGGGGAGGAAGGGAGUAAAGUGAAUACCUUUGCUCAUGGAAGUUACCGACAGAAGAAGCACCGGCUAACUCCGUGCCAGCAGCCGCGGUAAUACGGAGGGUGCAAGCGUUAAUCGGAAUUACUGGGCGUAAAGCGCACGCAGGCGGUCUGUCAAGUCGGAUGUGAAAUCCCCGGGCUCAACCUGGGAACUGCCUUCGAAACUGGCAGGCUAGAGUCUUGUAGAGGGUGGUAGAAUUCCAGGUGUAGCGGUGAAAUGCGUAGAGAUCUGGAGGAAUCCCGGUGGCGAAGGCGGCCCCCUGGACAAAGACUGACGCUCAGGUGCGAAAGCGUGGGGAGCAAACAGG